GAAAAAAUAAGAGAUGGAAAAUGUCAAAUUUACUUGGUCUACAACAAAGAAACCCUUUUAUUUUAUUGCUGUUCUUCAUAUUCAAGUUCACAGACCAGUCCUUCAACAAUGAGAAAAUGUUUAAAUAAAAAAAAUUGUGUAUAAAAAUGUUUUGAUUUGUGUACAUUAAUCUGAAUAAUAAUGACUUUCUUUUAUUUCCAAUUCUACCAAGAAGGACAGAAGAAGCAGCCUACAGUGAAAGACUUGAAGAAAUAUAGGCAAUGUAAGUACGAUUAAGUGAUUUUGCUGCUUGUGGCGUUUCCUCGAAGUAGCUGGUUACCUCCAAAUGGGACGACAGUCAUGGAUGUUGAGAAUGGCCCACGUCGCAGACUCGCGAGGACGGGCGGCCUCGGAUGUUCGCUAGCGGCCUACGACAGCUACAGGCUUUCUGCC
Molecule: long non-coding RNA, 432 nt
Filed under: Mytilus galloprovincialis (Mediterranean mussel)
Lineage: Eukaryota; Metazoa; Mollusca; Bivalvia; Mytilida; Mytilidae
Source: RNAcentral